UGUGGAUCUAGGUCAGACUCCUUCUACAUUAUCCCUGGAACAACAUCAGAGAGCCAGAGAGACAGGCUGAGAGAGUAAUACAGAAAGCACGUAAGAGAGGGAGAGAGAUAGAAGAGAGAAAAAAAGCAGAGAGAGAUAGACAGAAACAUAGAAAGGAAGAGAGAGAGAGAGAGAGAGGCAUAAACUGACAUUAUGGAGAAGCUGAGAGACAGACAGGAUGAGAAACAAAAAGGGGGCAGACAGACAGUGAGAGAGACAGGCAAAGGACCACAAAGUUAAAGAAAGACAGGGAGAGAGGGAAAGUGAUAACAAACAGAGCAGAGAGAGACGGUCGUGAAAUGAAAUUAAUGGAAGAAAAAGAUGGGCAUAGACUCACAGAUGGACAAGCAAAGAGACAGUCUGGACAAGAAAAAAAAGAGGCAGACAGACAGUGAGAGAGACAGGCAAAGUCAGGUGGAGAGGGAGACAGACAUAAGAAAAGAAAAGAGACAGACACUGGCACAUGGACAAGUGGAGAGACAGACAGAAAUAAAGACAGGGAGACAGACAGGCCAAGAACCAGAAACUGAGAGAAAGACAGGUAGAGAAGGAGAGAGAUAAAAUGUAAAGCCGAGAGAGAUACAGAGAAAUUAGAGGAAGAGAAAGACAGGCAUUGACUGAGAGAGGGACAAAUGGAGAGACAAACAGGAUGAGAAACAAAGAGACAGACAGUGGGAGAGACAGGCCAAGAACCACAAAGUGAGAGAAAGACAGGCAGAGAGGGAGAGAGAUGGAAGAAAAGAAAAGCUGAGAGAAAGACAGAGAAAUAAAAGGAAGAGAGAGACAAACAUAUACUAACAGAUGGACAAGUGGAGAGACAGCCAGGCUGAAGAACAGAAAGAAAGCAGGCAGAAAGAGAUAAUUGGUGGGCGUGUCGUCAUGGUGCCACACACACCCACAUCUUUGUGUCAGGACCUGGUACUGAUAUCACUGUCAACUUCAAGCCAACUUUCCUGGUAGCACAGUAAUAUGACGCACAUUGACUUGCAUUGUGCUGACAUGGCAUCACUUAUCAGAUUACACAACAUGUUUUCUUCCCAUGCAAUAUCAAAUCUUCAUGUACAUCUCCAAUGUGUUUAAUAAAAAAAACAGUGAAUUCACCAUUUCAAGUGCAACAUCUUAAAAUGUGUGAUAAUGUGUUCUUAUUUUUCCAGUUAAAAGAGCCUUUGUACCGUCAAAGGUCUUGUACAGACAAAACACACACUUUAUCUACAUUGCUGGUAAAGACAGCAUACAAAAACAAGCUGUUAACUGGCUGUGCAAAACACACACACACACACACACACUCAAGUUUCGAAUAACAGCAUUGCUGCAUACAGCUGCUGUCAUCGCAUGCUGUUGUUGCGGGUCCAUGCUCGGCUACAGCAGAUCCCUUGUUUACAUCACAUUACAGUGCAUGUGUGUGUUUUUGAGACAUUGCUAGAGUCUUAAAACCAGAGUGUUUACGUAUGCCUGUUUGUGCAGCUGAGACUUCUAGAAAACAACAGCAGUGCUGAUAACAAGCAGUACUGAAGUAGUGAAAAGUUAAGGAGGCUAUUCUACAAAACUAGUAUAAUUAUUAAUUACAUCUAGUAAUAAUAAUAAAUAUUACAUAAUAAUAAUAAUAAUAAUUAUGAUAAUAACUGGCU
Molecule: long non-coding RNA, 1667 nt
Organism: Cyprinus carpio carpio
Lineage: Eukaryota; Metazoa; Chordata; Actinopteri; Cypriniformes; Cyprinidae
Source: Ensembl